CCUUGUACACACCGCCCGUCACACCAUGGGAGUUGGUUUUACCUUAAGACGGUGUGCUAACCCGCAAGGGAGGCAGCCGGCCACGGUAAGGUCAGCGACUGGGGUG
RNAcentral lists this ribosomal RNA (106 nucleotides) under uncultured bacterium. RNAcentral's name for it is "partial 16S ribosomal RNA". It matches the Rfam family "Bacterial small subunit ribosomal RNA", at positions 1379 to 1482 of the family's 1533-position model. The record is from RNAcentral.